RNAcentral lists this ribosomal RNA (253 nucleotides) under uncultured bacterium. RNAcentral's name for it is "partial 16S ribosomal RNA". It matches the Rfam family "Bacterial small subunit ribosomal RNA", at positions 524 to 776 of the family's 1533-position model. The record is from RNAcentral.
UACGGGGGAGCAAGCGUUGUUCGGAUUUACUGGGCGUAAAGGGCGCGUAGGCGGUCGUGACAAGUCACUUGUGAAAUCUCCGGGCUUAACUCGGAACGGUCAAGUGAUACUGUCGUGCUAGAGUACAGAAGGGGCAACUGGAAUUCUCGGUGUAGCGGUGAAAUGCGUAGAUAUCGAGAGGAACACCUGCGGCGAAGGCGGGUUGCUGGGCUGAUACUGACGCUGAGGCGCGAAAGCUAGGGGAGCGAACGGG